RNAcentral lists this ribosomal RNA (563 nucleotides) under uncultured bacterium. RNAcentral describes it as "partial 16S ribosomal RNA". It matches the Rfam family "Bacterial small subunit ribosomal RNA", at positions 355 to 941 of the family's 1533-position model. The record is from RNAcentral.
UGGGGAAUCUUGCGCAAUGGGCGAAAGCCUGACGCAGCCAUGCCGCGUGAAUGAUGAAGGUCUUAGGAUUGUAAAAUUCUUUCACCGGGGACGAUAAUGACGGUACCCGGAGAAGAAGCCCCGGCUAACUUCGUGCCAGCAGCCGCGGUAAUACGAAGGGGGCUAGCGUUGCUCGGAAUUACUGGGCGUAAAGGGAGCGUAGGCGGACAUUUAAGUCAGGGGUGAAAUCCCGGGGCUCAACCUCGGAAUUGCCUUUGAUACUGGGUGUCUUGAGUGUGAGAGAGGUAUGUGGAACUCCGAGUGUAGAGGUGAAAUUCGUAGAUAUUCGGAAGAACACCAGUGGCGAAGGCGACAUACUGGCUCAUUACUGACGCUGAGGCUCGAAAGCGUGGGGAGCAAACAGGAUUAGAUACCCUGGUAGUCCACGCCGUAAACGAUGAUUGCUAGUUGUCGGGAUGCAUGCAUUUCGGUGACGCAGCUAACGCAUUAAGCAAUCCGCCUGGGGAGUACGGUCGCAAGAUUAAAACCUCAAAGGAAUUGACGGGGGUCAUAGCUGUUUCCUG